UGGGGAAUAUUGCACAAUGGAGGGAACUCUGAUGCAGCGACGCCGCGUGAGUGAUGAAGGAAUUCGUUUCGUAAAACUCUGUUCUAUGGGAAGAAAAGGACUGUACCAUAGGAGAAAGCUCCGGCUAAAUACGUGCCAGCAGCCGCGGUAAUACGUAUGGAGCGAGCGUUGUCCGGAAUUAUUGGGCGUAAAGUGUGCGCAGGCGGCUUUACAAGUUGGAUGUGAAAUAUUGUGGCUCAACCACAAACGUGCAUCCAAAACUGCAAAGCUUGAGUUAAGGAGAGGUAAGUGGAAUUCCUGGUGUAGAGGUGGAAUGCGUAGAUAUCAGGAGGAAUACCGGUGGCGAAGGCGACUUACUGGACUUAAACUGACGCUCAGGCACGAAAGCGUGGGGAGCAAACAGG
This 404-nucleotide ribosomal RNA is filed under the name Fusobacteriota bacterium. RNAcentral describes it as "Fusobacteria bacterium partial 16S ribosomal RNA". It matches the Rfam family "Bacterial small subunit ribosomal RNA", at positions 355 to 776 of the family's 1533-position model. The record is from RNAcentral. Lineage: Bacteria; Fusobacteriati; Fusobacteriota.